UUAAAUUGAAGAGUUUGAUCAUGGCUCAGAUUGAACGCUGGCGGCAGGCCUAACACAUGCAAGUCGAACGGUAACAGGAAGCAGCUUGCUGCUUCGCUGACGAGUGGCGGACGGGUGAGUAAUGUCUGGGAAACUGCCUGAUGGAGGGGGAUAACUACUGGAAACGGUGGCUAAUACCGCAUA
This 183-nucleotide ribosomal RNA is filed under the name Salmonella enterica subsp. enterica serovar Typhimurium. RNAcentral describes it as "partial 16S ribosomal RNA". It matches the Rfam family "Bacterial small subunit ribosomal RNA", at positions 1 to 175 of the family's 1533-position model. Lineage: Bacteria; Pseudomonadati; Pseudomonadota; Gammaproteobacteria; Enterobacterales; Enterobacteriaceae. The record is from RNAcentral.